This is a non-coding RNA of Pelobates cultripes (western spadefoot toad), 222 nucleotides long. The record is from the annotation of a GenBank genome assembly. Lineage: Eukaryota; Metazoa; Chordata; Amphibia; Anura; Pelobatidae.
UAGACUGGGGACGGGCAUAGACGGCGAGCUGAGCUGUCAGUCAGCACAGCUUACGAACGCGCAUACCGCGCACAUGUGCCGUAGAGCGUUCAGUUUUUUCAUAGAGCGGCAUUCAAAGAGAAGUGUCUGACUGGGCCCUGCGUUUUCGUCAUUUUGACGAAAAAGGGGACGUGACCUGGUGGGGAGCUUGGUGCUGGAACGGAGGUUUUAAUGAUAAAAAGG